This 600-nucleotide ribosomal RNA is filed under the name uncultured bacterium. RNAcentral's name for it is "bacterial SSU rRNA". It matches the Rfam family "Bacterial small subunit ribosomal RNA", at positions 881 to 1482 of the family's 1533-position model. The record is from RNAcentral.
UAUGCACGCAAGUGUGAAACUCAAAGGAAUUGACGGGGGCCCGCACAAGCGGUGGAGUAUGUGGUUUAAUUCGAAGCAACGCGAAGAACCUUACCAAGUCUUGACAUACCGUGCAAAACCCUGAAGACAGGGGAAUAGUUAUGGCGGAUACAGGUGGUGCAUGGUUGUCGUCAGCUCGUGUCGUGAGAUGUUGGGUUAAGUCCCGCAACGAGCGCAACCCUUGCCUUUAGUUACCAGCAUUCAGUUGGGGACUCUAGAGGGACUGCCGGUGACAAACCGGAGGAAGGUGGGGAUGACGUCAAAUCAUCAUGCCCCUUAUGACUUGGGCUACACACGUACUACAAUGGCGUAUACAGAGAGACGCGAAGUGGCGACAUGGAGCAAAUCUCACAAAGUACGUCUCAGUUCAGAUUGAAGUCUGCAACUCGACUUCAUGAAGGCGGAAUCGCUAGUAAUCGCGGAUCAGCAUGCCGCGGUGAAUACGUUCUCGGGCCUUGUACACACCGCCCGUCAAACCAUGAGAGUUGGUAAUACCCGAAGCCGGUGGCCUAACCCAGUAAUGGGAGGGAGCCGUCGAAGGUAGGAUCGAUGAUUGGGGUU